AUGAACGCUAGCGGCAGGCUUAAUACAUGCAAGUUGAGGGGCAGCAUGAUAUACGCGAGUAUAUUGAUGGCGACCGGCGGACGGGUGAGUAAUAGGAGGUUAGACCUACCUCAUACAGGGGGAUAGCAUAGAGAAAUCUGUGGUAAUACCCCAUGAGGUUAUAUGAAUAGAGGCAUAUAAUCAAAGCAUAAGCGAUUAUGCGGUAUGAGAGGGGCCUACUGACCAUUAGCUAGUUGGUGAGGUAAGGGCUCACCAAGGCGAAGAUGGUUAGGGGUUUUGAGAGAGAGACCCCCCACAUUGGAACUGAGAUACGGUCCAAACUCCUACGGGAGGCAGCAGUGAGGAAUAUUGGUCAAUGGACAGAAGUCUGAACCAGCCAAGUCGCGUGAAGGAAGAAGGUCUUACGGAUUGUAAACUUCUUUAGCAGGGGAAUAAAAGACGAUACGAGUUAUCGUGUUGAAAGUACUUUGCGAAAAAGGAUCGGCUAACUCCGUG
This 495-nucleotide ribosomal RNA is filed under the name uncultured bacterium. RNAcentral's name for it is "bacterial SSU rRNA". It matches the Rfam family "Bacterial small subunit ribosomal RNA", at positions 30 to 507 of the family's 1533-position model. The record is from RNAcentral.